GCCACUUCCCUUGCUUCACAGGAUUUCACUUUGCUCAGGGAGUGGGGAAAUCAGUGAGGUAACAGUGGUUGCUGUGAACAGCUGUCCUACCUGAAGAAAUGAAGUGAUUCAUUGAUGAAGAUCAUCAAUGUCUAUACACUGACAAAUAAAGAUGCUUGCCAAAGAAUAGUAUGAUGCACCAAUAUCCUCGAGGAGAGUUCAAAGAUCACGACUGCACUUUCUCUUCAAGGUGAUCAUCACAUGCAUUGUAGACUUGGAAAAUUCUCUAUUUGGUUUGCUGAAGAGAAAAAUAAUUAUAAAUUGGAAGUGAUUAGUGAUGAAUUGACAAUGGUUUAAUCCAAAGCAAGAAGAACAGACUUCUGGAUUCUUCCAUCGUCAGUAUUCAAACUUGUAUUCCAUAGAUACACAAACAGCUCCAUUUCUCUGUUCAAGGUUCCUAACCAAACCCACAGGCAUGACUAACAGUGCACAUGGCAGUAAGCAACCGACAGAUGCGUACAAAUGCUGAAUAAUUGAACAAUACAGACACGAAAUCCCUUCCACUGCAAGCACCAGGGUCUUGUGCCAUAGACUACAUUCUUAAACGCAUUGUGACUUUUGUAAUCCUAGCCCGUGUCCUUGAUGCUGAGAAUGGCUUGGAUCUUAUUACGGAGAAUACUGCAGAGCUGGGUUAUUUCUUUCAACUAUCUCCCAAGUGCCCUCACUUUGCUUAUAAUUUUCCUCCAGUAUCACAAACGGGAAGGAAAUAAUUGUAUAAAUGCCCCUUAAGUGGUGAGGUUGUGCCUUCCAGUGAAUUCAAUUAUGACACAAAAGAUACGCUGGAAUUAAACACAAAGUCACUACCAAAAUCAUUACUUGGCACAUCAUUGUACGUGGAAUUGCCCUUUUAUCGAGAUUUGUUACCAUGUGUAUUGCAUAGGUUCGCAAAGCUAAAAAAAAUCUUGUUAUGUCAGAAAAUUUAUAAAGGCUAUAAAAAGUGAACUGUUUUUGAUAGGAAUAAAACUGCUGCUAACAAU
Molecule: long non-coding RNA, 1016 nt
Organism: Stegostoma tigrinum
Lineage: Eukaryota; Metazoa; Chordata; Chondrichthyes; Orectolobiformes; Stegostomatidae
Exons: 4
Source: RefSeq, a predicted model, not a curated record